Molecule: ribosomal RNA, 420 nt
Filed under: uncultured bacterium
Lineage: Bacteria
Description: bacterial SSU rRNA
Rfam family: Bacterial small subunit ribosomal RNA
Source: RNAcentral
UAAGGAAUAUUGCUCAAUGGGAGAAAUCCUGAAGCAGCAACGCCGCGUGGAGGAUGAAGAGUCUAUGACUUGUAAACUCCUGUAAAGAAGGAAAAAAUUCCCAUUUGAUGGGAGAUGAUGGUACUUCUGGAGUAAGCCCCGGCUAACUACGUGCCAGCAGCCGCGGUAAUACGUAGGGGGCAAGCGUUGUCCGGAUUUACUGGGUGUAAAGGGUGCUCAGGCGGAUUUGUAAGUCAGAGGUGAAAUCUUACAGCUUAACUGUGAAACUGCCUUUGAUACUGCAAGCCUAGAGUAUGGAAGAGAGUGAUGGAAUAUCUGGUGUAGCAGUGAAAUGCGUAGAUAUCAGAUAGAACACCAAUGGCGAAGGCAGUCACUUGGUCCAUUACUGACGCUAAAGCACGAAAGCGUGGGUAGCAAACA